GACGAACGCUGGCGGCGUGCUUAACACAUGCAAGUCGAACGGAAAGGCCCUGCUUUUGUGGGGUGCUCGAGUGGCGAACGGGUGAGUAACACGUGAGUAACCUGCCCUUGACUUUGGGAUAACUUCAGGAAACUGGGGCUAAUACCGGAUAGGAGCUCCUGCUGCAUGGUGGGGGUUGGAAAGUUUCGGCGGUUGGGGAUGGACUCGCGGCUUAUCAGCUUGUUGGUGGGGUAGUGGCUUACCAAGGCUUUGACGGGUAGCCGGCCUGGGAGGGUGACCGGCCACAUGGGGACUGAGGUACGGCCCAGACUCCUACGGGAGGCAGCAGUGGGGAAUAUUGCACAAUGGGCGGAAGCCUGAUGCAGCAACGCCGCGUUCGGGAUGACGGCCUUCGGGUUGUAAACCGCUUUCGCCUGUGACGAAGCGUGAGUGACGGUAAUGGGUAAAGAAGCACCGGCUAACUACGUG
Molecule: ribosomal RNA, 468 nt
Filed under: uncultured bacterium
Lineage: Bacteria
Description: partial 16S ribosomal RNA
Rfam family: Bacterial small subunit ribosomal RNA
Source: RNAcentral